This 459-nucleotide ribosomal RNA is filed under the name uncultured bacterium. Its description in RNAcentral is "partial 16S ribosomal RNA". It matches the Rfam family "Bacterial small subunit ribosomal RNA", at positions 338 to 795 of the family's 1533-position model. The record is from RNAcentral.
CCUACGGGCGGCAGCAGUGAGGAAUAUUGGUCAAUGGCCGGAAGGCUGAACCAGCCAAGCCGCGUGAGGGAGGAAGGCGCAGAGCGUCGCAGACCUCUUUUGCCGGGGGACAAAAGGCAGGACUCGUCAGGUCCUGAGGGUACCCGGAGAAAAAGCAUCGGCUAACUCCGUGCCAGCAGCCGCGGUAAUACGGGGGAUGCGAGCGUUAUCCGGAUUAGUUGGGUUAAGAGGGUGCGGAGGCGGGUCUUUAAGCUGGCGGUGAAAUCGCGGGGCUAAACCCCGCCGAGCCGUUGGAACUGGGGGCCUUGAGUGCGGCGGAGGCAUGCGGAAUGCGCGGUGUAGCGGUGAAAUGCAUAGAUAUGUCGCAGAAUCCCGAUUGCGAAGGCAGCGUGCCGGGCCACCACUGACGCUGAGGCACGAAAGCGCGGGGAUCGAACAGGAUUAGAUACCCGUGUAGUC